This 386-nucleotide ribosomal RNA is filed under the name uncultured bacterium. RNAcentral's name for it is "bacterial SSU rRNA". It matches the Rfam family "Bacterial small subunit ribosomal RNA", at positions 29 to 394 of the family's 1533-position model. The record is from RNAcentral.
AACGAACGCUGGCGGCGUGGAUAAGACAUGCAAGUCGAACGGGAUUACUUCGAGUAGCAAUACCUGAAGUAAUUUAGUGGCGAACGGGUGCGUAACACGUGGGGAAUCUGCCGAGAAGUGGGGGAUAGCUCGUCGAAAGGCGAAUUAAUACCGCAUAUGAUCAGGGAAGACAUCUUUCCAACAUCAAAGCCGGGGCAACCUGGCGCUUCUUGAUGACCCCGCGGCCUAUCAGCUAGUUGGUGAGGUAACGGCCCCACCAAGGCGAUGACGGGUAGCUGGUCUGAGAGGAAACGCCAGUCACACUGGAACUGAGACACGGUCCAGACACCGUACGGGUGGCAGCAGUCGAGUAAUUUUUCUCAAGUGGGGCAACCCUGAAGGAGCGA